Molecule: unclassified non-coding RNA, 314 nt
Filed under: plant metagenome
Description: partial contains 5.8S ribosomal RNA, internal transcribed spacer 2, and large subunit ribosomal RNA
Rfam family: 5.8S ribosomal RNA (bases 1-105)
Source: RNAcentral
GAAAUGCGAUAAUUAAUGUGAAUUGCAGAAUUCAGUGAAUCAUCGAGUCUUUGAACGCACAUUGCGCCCCCUGGUAUUCCGGGGGGCAUGCCUGUCCGAGCGUCAUUGCUGACCUCAAGCACGGCUUGUGUGUUGGGCUUCCGUCCCUGGCAACGGGGACGGGCCCAAAAGGCAGUGGCGGCACCAUGUCUGGUCCUCGAGCGUAUGGGGCUUUGUCACCCGCUCCCGUAGGUCCAGCUGGCAGCUAGCCUCGCAACCAAUCUUUUUAACCAGGUUGACCUCGGAUCAGGUAGGGAUACCCGCUGAACUUAAGC